CCAGAGGGUCGGGCGACCGCGGGGAUGUUGUAAUGGCAUCCGCGAGGAAAGUCCGGGCUCCGCGGAACGACGGUGCCGGGUAACGCCCGGCGGGGGUGACCCCAGGGACAGUGCCACAGAGAGCAGACGGCCAACCCUCGGCGCAAGUCGGGGCGGUCAGAGUGAAAGGGUGCGGUAAGAGCGCACCGCGCGCCUGGUAACAGGGGCGGCACGGCAAACCCCACCGGGAGCAAGAUCGAAUAGGGGUGGCACAUGGGCUUCGUUCCGGCUCGUCACCCGGGUUGAUUGCUUGAGGCGGCGGGCAACCGUCGUCCUAGAGGAAUGGUCGCCCAACUUUCGACCGAAGGGUCGGAAAUGGACAGAACCCGGCUUACAGACCCUCUGGCAUC
Molecule: non-coding RNA, 389 nt
Organism: Sphingomonas sp. Ant20
Lineage: Bacteria; Pseudomonadati; Pseudomonadota; Alphaproteobacteria; Sphingomonadales; Sphingomonadaceae
Rfam family: Bacterial RNase P class A
About the family: Ribonuclease P (RNase P) is a ubiquitous endoribonuclease, found in archaea, bacteria and eukarya as well as chloroplasts and mitochondria.
Source: Rfam